This 393-nucleotide ribosomal RNA is filed under the name Bertamyia notata. Its description in RNAcentral is "partial 12S ribosomal RNA". Lineage: Eukaryota; Metazoa; Arthropoda; Insecta; Diptera; Platypezidae. The record is from RNAcentral.
UCUGGGAUUAGAUACCCUGUUAUUUAAAAUGUAGAUAUUAAUAUACUGGAGUAAUAAUAGUUAUGGUCUUUAAACUUAAAAAAUUUGGCGGUAUUUUAGUCUAUUCAGAGGAACCUGUUUUAUAAUCGAUAAUCCACGAUGUACCUCACUUAAUUUUAUUAAUUAGUUUGUAUACCGUCGUUAUAGAAUAUUUUAUAAGAAAAAUAAUUUUCAAUAAUUUUUAUUAAAACUUAUAUCAGAUCAAGGUGCAGCUUAUAUUUAAGUAAUAAUGGGUUACAAUAAAUUAAUUUAUAUGGAAAUAAAUUUGAAAAAUUUUAUUAAAAGUGGAUUUGAUAGUAAAAUUAAAUAGAUUAUUAAUUUGAUUUUAGCUCUAAAAUAUGUACAAAUCGCCCG